This is a long non-coding RNA of Manduca sexta (tobacco hornworm), 765 nucleotides long. RefSeq lists it as uncharacterized. The transcript is spliced from 3 exons. Lineage: Eukaryota; Metazoa; Arthropoda; Insecta; Lepidoptera; Sphingidae. The record is from RefSeq and is a predicted model, not a curated record.
UUUGCCUAAAGAAAAAAAGAAUGUGUUAUUUUUUUAAGCUAAGCGCUAAUAAAUUCUAUUUUUAAAAUAGUACUUACAUUUGUUUUGUCCAAAAUUUAUGUCAAUAUGGGAAAAAUAAAAAACAGGUUACAUACAUGCAUUAUAAUCAAACACAGACAAUCUUGAUUGAAUUAUACUGAGCAUAGCUAACGUUAGGUGCAGAUAUCACGACAAUUGUUGAGGUAAAGUGGUCUCAGUAUUCAGAUUGAUAAAGUGACAAUCUAGUUGUAACUAUUGAGACAAAGUGCUGGGAUAUCACAAUAAAAAAAUAAGUUGUGCAUUUUUAGAAGGAUACUGAAUUUUAACGGCUUUGUAGAUCCUCCAGUAGAAGAACAGCAUCACAAACAUGGGGAUGUAGAAGGAGCCGAGGGCUGAGUAGACGACGUAACCAGCGUCGUUGGUGAGCUCGCACGUCCAAGGACACGGUGGGUUCGGAGUCCGAAGGUCACCUUCUUCAGGCUGUGAAAGGAAAUAAGAAAUUUUUCGAGUCUUCGCACACGAUUUGUAAGGGGAGGGAAGCAGAUGACAAACGACAGCACCCAGAGACCAGCGAUGAGCGCCUUGGCCCGCUUCCGACUCAUGAUGCUGGGGUAGCUGACAGGCCGCGUGACUGCCACGUAGCGGUCUAGCGAGAUGGCGCACAGGUUCAAGAUGGACGCUGUACACAUCCACACGUCUACCGCCAGCCAUACCGAACACCAGACGUGGCCGAAUAUCCAUAUCUGG